GACGAACGCUGGCGGCGUGCUUAACACAUGCAAGUCGAACGGAAAGGCCCCUUCGGGGGUACUCGAGUGGCGAACGGGUGAGUAACACGUGAGUAACCUGCCCUUGACUUCGGGAUAACUUCAGGAAACUGGGGCUAAUACCGGAUAGGAAUCCUUGCUGCAUGGUGGGGGUUGGAAAGCUUCGGCGGUUUUGGAUGGACUCGCGGCUUAUCAGCUUGUUGGUGGGGUAGUGGCUUACCAAGGCUUUGACGGGUAGCCGGCCUGAGAGGGCGACCGGCCACAUUGGGACUGAGAUACGGCCCAGACUCCUACGGGAGGCAGCAGUGGGGAAUAUUGCACAAUGGGCGGAAGCCUGAUGCAGCAACGCCGCGUGCGGGAUGACGGCCUUCGGAUUGUAAACCGCUUUCAGCAGGGGCGAAGCUUGUGGUGACGGUACCUGCAGAAGAAGCACCGGCUAACUACGUG
Molecule: ribosomal RNA, 465 nt
Filed under: uncultured bacterium
Lineage: Bacteria
Description: partial 16S ribosomal RNA
Rfam family: Bacterial small subunit ribosomal RNA
Source: RNAcentral